RNAcentral lists this ribosomal RNA (1404 nucleotides) under uncultured Enterococcus sp. Its description in RNAcentral is "partial 16S ribosomal RNA". It matches the Rfam family "Bacterial small subunit ribosomal RNA", at positions 27 to 1379 of the family's 1533-position model. Lineage: Bacteria; Bacillati; Bacillota; Bacilli; Lactobacillales; Enterococcaceae. The record is from RNAcentral.
GAUCGAACGCUGGCGGCGUGUCCUAAUACAUGCAAGUCGAACGCGAAAUAAUUGUAUCGGAGCUUGCUCCACCGAAAUUUUUCGAGUGGCGAACGGGUGAGUAACACGUAGAGAGACCUACCCUGAAGCGGCGGGACAACACUUGGAAACAGGUGCUAAUACCGCAUAAAAGUAAGAAUCGCAUGAUUUUUAUUUAAAAGGCGCAAAUGCGCCACUUUUGGAUGGCUCUGCGGUGCAUUAGCUAGUUGGUGAGGUAAUAGCUUACCAAGGCCGUGAUGCAUAGCCGACCUGAGAGGGUGAUCGGCCACAUUGGGACUGAGACACGGCCCAAACUCCUACGCGGAGGCAGCAGUAGGGAAUCUUCGGCAAUGGACGAAAGUCUGACCGAGCAACGCCGCGUGAGUGAAGAAGGUUCUUCGGAUCGUAAAUACUCUGUUGUAAGUAAAGAACAAGGAGGAGAGUGGAAAGCUCCUCCCUUGACGGUCACUUACCAGAACAGUCCCGGCUAACUACGUGCCAGCAGCCGCGGUAAUACGUAGGGGACAAGCGUUGUCCGGAUUUAUUGGGCGUAAAGCGAGCGCAGGCGGUUUGUUUAAGUCUGAUGUGAAAUCCCUCGGCUUAACCGAGGAAGGUCAUUGGAAACUGGACGAACUUGAGUACAGAAGAGGAGAGUGGAAUUCCAUGUGUAGCGGUGAAAUGCGUAGAUAUAUGGAGGCAACACCAGUGGCGAAGGCGGCUCUCUGGUCUGUUACUGACGCUGAGGCUCGAAAGCUGUGGGGAGCAAACAGGAUUAGAUACCCUGGUAGUCCACGCCGUAAACGAUGAGUGCUAAGUGUUGGAGGGUUGUCCGCCCUUCAGUGCUGCAGCAAACGCAUUAAGCACUCCGCCUGGGCGAGUACGACCGCAAGGUUGAAACUCAAAUGGAAUUGACGGGAGGCCCGCACAAGCGGUGGAGCAUGUGGUUUAAUUCGAAGCAACGCGAAUGAACCUUACCAGGUCUUGACAUCCUCAGACCGACUCUAGAGAUAGAGAUUUCCCUUCGCCAGACUGAGAGACAGGUGGUGCAUGGUUGUCGUCAGCUCGUGUCCGUGAGAUGUUGGGUUAAGUCCCGCAACGAGCGCAACCCUUAUUGUUAGUUGCCAUCAUUAAGUUGGGCACUCUAGCGAGACUGCCGGUGAUAAACCCGGAGGAAGGUGGGGAUGACGUCAAAUCAUCAUGCCCUUUAUGAUCUGGGCUACACACGUGCUACAAUGGGAAGUACAACGAGUUGCGAACUCGCAAGGGUACAGCUAAUCUCUGAAAACUUCUCUCAGUUCGGAUUGUAGGCUUGCAACUCGCCUACAUGAAUACGGAAUCGCUAGUAAUCGCGGAUCAGCACGCCGCUGGUGAAUACGUUCCCGGAGC